CUACUCUCUACUAUAUAACUUGUUUGGCCUAGCAUUUCAGUCAAUCUCUCAAUGAUUAAUUGAGGUCGCCGGUGGGGUAUAUUAAAUUAUAAUUAUGCUUUAGUUAUAAAUCUUUUCCCUUCCAAAUGGCAAUGUUAUAAUCCAUUAGGUACCAUUUUAGCAAAUUUGAAAGUCACAAAAGUCACGCGUGGUCAUGUGACGCUAAAAAGGUAAAUUGCGUCGAGCUCCGUUAACCUAAUUUCUUAAUUUCAUAUGUGAUGGAAAGAAUAUUGGCCAUCCUGUUUUUGGAUUGUUCCGAUCUCCUUGACCUCAGAAUUGGGCGACAUGCCUUCUAGUUGGUCAAGUUUAGAAAUAAUGUCAGAAAUCAUUGAAGGAACUGCACUUAUGAUCUCGACGACAGACUAUCUAGCUCGAUCAUGAAUACACAAUCAAUGUAAUGAACAUCGUUGGGAGAUGUUACCAAGUAAUUACUAUGCCUCUCAUCGAAUAAGGUAACUAAUAUUCACCCCAUCUUAUAUAUAGAGGUGAAUGGAGGAUCCUCAAGUAAACUGUCUCAAGCUCCC
This 563-nucleotide long non-coding RNA is filed under the name Phoenix dactylifera (date palm). RNAcentral describes it as "long non-coding RNA (PDAC_LNC017266)". The record is from RNAcentral. Lineage: Eukaryota; Viridiplantae; Streptophyta; Magnoliopsida; Arecales; Arecaceae.